CUCACCCUAGAAGGGUUGUGGGUAGGCUACUGUGUUACAUCUGUAUCAGUAGGAUGCGAAGAGAAGAGAAACAAAGUCUACUUUCAGAGUUCUGACCUAUGAUUGGUAGCCUAACAAC
This is a small nucleolar RNA of Rattus norvegicus (Norway rat), 118 nucleotides long. Ensembl annotates it as small nucleolar RNA SNORA17. Lineage: Eukaryota; Metazoa; Chordata; Mammalia; Rodentia; Muridae. The record is from Ensembl.